This 471-nucleotide ribosomal RNA is filed under the name Notommatidae environmental sample. RNAcentral's name for it is "SSU rRNA". It matches the Rfam family "Eukaryotic small subunit ribosomal RNA", at positions 703 to 1178 of the family's 1831-position model. Lineage: Eukaryota; Metazoa; Rotifera; Eurotatoria; Ploima; Notommatidae. The record is from RNAcentral.
UCCCGUGGUGAGUCAAAUUAAUAUUGGGUGUUUUCGGUAGCCGGUACGUUUACUUUGAGAAAAUUAGAGUGCUUAAAGCAGGCAAUCCGCCUGAAUAAUGUUGCAUGGAAUAAUAGAAUAGGACCUCGGUUCUAUUUUGUUGGUUUUGUAGAGCAUUGAGGUAAUGAUUAAUAGGGACAGACGGGGGCAUUCGUAUUGCGGUGUUAGAGGUGAAAUUCUUGGAUCGCCGCAAGACGAACAACUGCGAAAGCAUUUGCCAAGAAUGUUUUCAUUAAUCAAGAACGAAAGUUGGAGGUUCGAAGACGAUUAGAUACCGUCCUAGUUCCAACCAUAAACGAUGCCAACUAGCGAUUAGCUGCUGUAAAUCAAACGACACAGCUAGCAGCUUCCGGGAAACCAAAGUUUUUGGGUUCCGGGGGAAGUAUGGUUGCAAAGCUGAAACUAAAGGAAUACGGAACGCCCCCUGAUGUC